GAUGAACGCUGGCGGCGUGCCUAAUACAUGCAAGUCGAGCGAACAGACGAGGAGCUUGCUCCUCUGACGUUAGCGUCGGACGGGUGAGUAACACGUGGAUAACCUACCUAUAAGACUGGGAUAACUUCGGGGAACCGGAGCUAAUACCGGAUAAUAUAUUGAACCGCAUGGUUCAAUAGUGAAAGACGGUUUUGCUGUCACUUAUAGAUGGAUCCGCGCCGCAUUAGCUAGUUGGUAAGGUAACGGCUUACCAAGGCAACGAUGCGUAGCCGACCUGAGAGGGUGAUCGGCCACACUGGAACUGAGACACGGUCCAGACUCCUACGGGAGGCAGCAGUAGGGAAUCUUCCGAAAUGGGCGAAAGCCUGACGGAGCAACGCCGCGUGAGUGAUGAAGGUCUUCGGAUCGUAAAACUCUGUUAUUAGGGAAGAACAAAUGUGUAAGUAACUAUGCACGUCUUGACGGUACCUAAUCAGAAAGCCACGGCUAACUACGUG
This 497-nucleotide ribosomal RNA is filed under the name uncultured bacterium. RNAcentral's name for it is "partial 16S ribosomal RNA". It matches the Rfam family "Bacterial small subunit ribosomal RNA", at positions 28 to 507 of the family's 1533-position model. The record is from RNAcentral.